Molecule: ribosomal RNA, 708 nt
Filed under: Lepidosaphes pinnaeformis
Lineage: Eukaryota; Metazoa; Arthropoda; Insecta; Hemiptera; Diaspididae
Description: eukaryotic LSU rRNA
Rfam family: Eukaryotic large subunit ribosomal RNA
Source: RNAcentral
GAGUUCAAUAGUACGUGAAACCGUUCAGGGGUAAACGGACAGAGCCCGUGAAUCUGGGCGGCGAAAUUCAGAAUGACUGGGCCGGCCACGUGCAUGUCCGGUCGUUUGAUAUUUUCGCCGUCGAUCAGACGUCGCGAUCUGUUUGUAGUCGGUCUUGGAGACGCGAACGAGUUUGUUGUGAGCGUGCUUCGGCGCGUUUCACGGCAAAGGCGCGAACCUCUGGCUGGCAACGGACAGUAUGCAAUGGUGAACGACGUAUGUCGGUACCGAUCUGCGACGAUUCUUCGGGCCUCUUCCCGACCCGUCUUGAAACACGGACCAAGGAGUCUAACAUGCGCGCGAGUCACGGGGUAUCGAGCGUACUACGGUGCGCUCGACAUAUCUCGAAACCCGUAUGUUAAAGGCGUAAUGAAAGUAAACAGGGAAGAUGGUGUUCCGAGUAUAUGUUCCGUGUUUAUUCACGGCCGGACGCCCGCAUUCCCGGGGCGUCUUAAUGGAUCGCAGCGGAUGCGGACUGUCGUCUUUCGGGGCGAUAGUCGGUCCGCGGCGGUCCGAGGCGCACCUAGAGCGUGCACGUUGGUACCCGAAAGAUGGUGAACUAUGCCUGGCCAGGAUGAAGUCAGGGGAAACCCUGAUGGAGGUCCGCAGCGAUUCUGACGUGCAAAUCGAUCGUCUGAGCUGGGUAUAGGGGCGAAAGACUAAUCGAAC